This 308-nucleotide unclassified non-coding RNA is filed under the name Tomentella stuposa. RNAcentral describes it as "sequence contains 5.8S rRNA gene". The record is from RNAcentral. Lineage: Eukaryota; Fungi; Basidiomycota; Agaricomycetes; Thelephorales; Thelephoraceae.
GAACGCACCUUGCGCCCUUUGGCUAUUCCGAAGGGCAUGCCUGUUUGAGUAUCAUGAACACCUCAACUCUCAUGGCUUGCCGUGAUGAGCUUGGACUUUGGGGGUCUUGUUGGCCUGUGAGCCAGCUCCUCUUAAAUGAAUUAGCUUGCCGGUGUUUGGUGGCGUCACAGGUGUGAUAACUAUUUACGCUUGUGGUUUUCCAUCAGAUAACCUUCAGUGAUGGAGGUUCACCGGGGCUUAUAAACGUCUCUCCUCGGUGAGGACAGCUUUUGACCUCGAAUCAGGUGGGACUACCCGCUGAACUUAAG